GCUAUCGAUAGAUCAGAAGAUUUCGAUGGAAAAGCUUGAGAGAAGAUUGUAUAAUUGAGAGGUAUAACAGUGGGCAAAGCGUCUUUCACCGGCGAUAUCAUCAUCUCGAUCGACUGCGGCACUAUCGACGGUGGCGGUUCAUCAACUGGAGAGGGUUUUUGCUUCACCAAAUCGGAAAUUGAAGUGUGUAUAGCAUCUGCGAGUCAACUACCUAGCUCACUCUUUGUGUACCUGUCAAAUUCGUACAAGAUAUCCCUUCAAAUCUCGGCAAUAUGAUGGGAAAUGUCAUGACCAUUCGAAAUGAAGUUCGUGAUAAAAAAUGCAUGAUCGACUGAAAGCGGAUUUGGUUGAGCAUAUAUGGAGAAAGUUUGGCACAAAUCAAAAUUAAAAUUAAUCAUUUUGUAAUUUAUUUUUAAUAUGCUUUUAUAUCAUGUUUGUUUAAACUUUUAUUGAAUGCAAUAUUUUUAAG
This is a long non-coding RNA of Camelina sativa (false flax), 469 nucleotides long. RefSeq lists it as uncharacterized. The record is from RefSeq and is a predicted model, not a curated record. NCBI's taxonomy places the organism in Eukaryota, Viridiplantae, Streptophyta, Magnoliopsida, Brassicales, Brassicaceae.